Molecule: long non-coding RNA, 4347 nt
Organism: Cyprinus carpio (common carp)
Lineage: Eukaryota; Metazoa; Chordata; Actinopteri; Cypriniformes; Cyprinidae
Source: RefSeq, a predicted model, not a curated record
AGUGGCCCUUAAUUUAUAUUCUUAUACCAUUUAAAAAAGUUGCAAAGGAAACAAUAGUAGGCUAUAAUUUAUAUAAUCUUGAGCAUUAUUAUUAAUAACGUGUGAAAAAGCAGACGCAGUUUUAUAGUUCGUAUAAUAUAACAGCGAGGUUAAAGCUGUGAAAACAAAUGCUGAAUCCGGACGCUUGAAUCCACGCAGACCUCUUGCAUUUCUGUUGCGUAGCUGGAGGGAUUUACGGGGACUUAAUUCCUUAAAACUGUCCUCUCGUCCACAUGACGCUCAAACUGCAAGUGCUCAAGCUGAUAUACCCAAAUGUAUCAAGAGAUGAGUGCAUCGCAUUGCCAUGGGGCUAGAUUAGGGCCUUUUAUAAGACAUGUAGAAUACACGUGAAACCAGUGCGGAGUAGCGCAACGAGGAGGUGAAUUAGGUAGCUUUAAAAACGUUAAAAACAACAUGUUGCCAAUAUCCACUUCAAAACAUGUCUAUCGGGAUUCUUCUGUGUGGGAGGAAAGUCGACUGUAUCAUAACAGCUUUAAGUCUAUACAUUUUAAAGAUAUCCUAAGAAGAGGAGAACCUGACAAGCGCUCGGUGACUCGACAUGCACGGACAAAUGAACAACGAUGCAAAAAAAAAAAAAAAAAAAAAAAACUUUUACACUUCAAGACAGGAUGGAAAGCUUCAGUUGUGCACCUGCUAUUGUGGAAUGCCCUGGAGACGAUGACAGCCAGCAUUAUCCUGGUCCAAAUGUUUUGCAAGCACUGCAUGGUGGGCAUCAUCUGAUGUUAUCUUAUGUGAAUGUUUGGAGGAGCACAGUAGGAAAGGAUCAGUUUCUUCACAGUUUUAUUAAGAUUAGUUAACAUCUUUAGUGGCUUUUCAAUUAUGACACCAUGUUGCAAUUACUCUGAAAUUGUUGGACUGAUAAAAAAAGGACUUUGUUGAUUCAUUUAAAUUAAUGUUUGACUUUGUAUCUUUUGGUGUUACGUAUAUUGUGAUGUUUUUUUCUUUGUAAGGUUCUGAGUUUUGAGAUUAGAUUAAAACCCUAGACAUGGCUGAAUGGUCAUAAUUUAGCAUGAUACAUUACAAAUGAACUUGCCUUAAUAUUCUCACAAAUGUUUCUCUGAUUUGACAUAAUUGUGACAGUGUUUAAAUGCGAUAACAGUCAUUUUUGAUGAGAGGAACACUUGAACGUGAAGGUAUAUUUGCACAAAGUAAUUACAAUGAAUAAAAGAGCUCGUUUGAUCUUUAUUGACAUUCAUAAUUUCCCGUGUGCCACAUCUUGCCGUAAGGUACAGCAAACUUAAAUGGGGUUAAAUGUUACGCGUCACGGUCCGAGAAAAUAAGGAUGUCAGAUUGGAAGGGUGGGAAGAAACGGAGGAUGAUUGCACAGUACAUUUCAAGAGAUCACUAAGGUUACAGCGAUCUACAUAUAGAAACAGACGGGGGAUAAAAAGAGAGAGAGAGAGAACAUUAAAAUUCCUUAGUACAGUUACUCACACUACAACAAUAUUGUUCAGCACCACAUUUUUUAGGAAGUCUAUGUAUAAUUGUAUUUAUACUUAUUAAAAAAAAACAUUUACAUACUAAUUUAUUAUCAAUAAAAUAGACAUUUUAAGUUUUAAAACAUUAGUUUGUUGAACAUAAACACACUUUAAAACCUCCAACUAGAGCAGAAAAAGGCACCAAACCAAGACAGAAUUCUGUGCAUAUGCAUGAUGCAUUAAGUACCUUCUGAAAAUAUUUAACGGUUAUUAAUCACUACUGUAAUUGUUUGUCUGCUGUUUACACAGGGGCCAAGCAGCAAACAAAUGGAUUCAAUUAAAACUGAUUCAAGUCAUCAAUAUAAGGCAAAGUAAGCCCUCCACCAUACUGACAAGGACAAACAAGUGCACACAAGGGGACACUAAACGUUCUUUCAGUCAUGCAUAAACAUGCUUUUCUCUCUACGCUCUUGCUCUCUCACUUUCACACACACACACACACACACACACACACACACACACACACACACACACACACACACACACACACACACACAUUACAAAGGCCCUCAAGGUGAACUUGGUGAAAGAUCUACGAACUCAGAUCUUCAAAGAACUUGCAAUGCAAUUGUGUCAAAUUCACUUUUCCAAACGAAUAAUGAUAACACUCUAUAUCUUUAUUACAUGGAUCUAGUUGAGAAAAGCAAAAAUGGCAUGAGGUGUACGGUGGAACCUGCCCUGCAGUGUGGGCUUCACUUCUCUCGCCUCUCUCAGAGUUCAAAGGCACAGGAACAGAGAGGGUCGGAUUUAUUCAGGCUUUAUGUGGUAAAUGCUUGGAUGUCUUUCUUGUAGUCUGCAAGGCCCUAAGAUCACAUUUAGGAAAUGUUCUUUUGUGAGGUUGGCUGUGAAAUCCCCAUAAUAAAUUCACCAAACAGGCACAAGCAAUGGCUAUUUAUGAUCGUGGCCAUUUAUUCCUUUCUAUCUUGCCUUCCAGGUAAAGGUGUGUCUGUUUAUGCAUCACUUUUAGACUCAAACACCAGUAAAAUGGACUUGAAAGGAUCAAUGAUCAUAAGAUAUACAUUAAAUAUAAUCUUUUAUUGAAUCGUUCAAUACAAACGUUGGCUUAUUAUGGGUUUGUGACACAGAAGUAAAGUCUAAAAAUAAAGGCACAGUUAACGCUCAAAAAGGAAAAUUGUCAUCAUUUACUCACCCUCAUGAUAUUACUUAUGUUCUUCUAUGGAAGAUAUUUUGGAAAAUAUUUCUAACGUUGUUUCCGACCCCCCUGAUUUUCUCUGUAUGUGCACAAACAGUGGAAACAUUUUUCAAAACAUCUGCAAGAGAAAGAAAAUCAUUCAGUUUGGAAUGACGCAAGGGUGAGUAGAAGACAGUAUUUUCACUCCCUUUAAGAAGUGAUAUAACAAUUAUUAGUGUUAUUUUGUCCCCAAGCCAAAUUGUGAGCACCCAUCCUCAAAUACACACGUUAACAUUAUUGAAUCUUUAAUUAUGUGGUAUAAUUAACCCUGCACCCAGUUUGAAAGGCAUGUGAGUCGAGGACGAGCCCCCAUAUGGGGUGAGCAUUCCUUGCUUGUGCCCCGUCCAAACCCCACUUUGUUUUGAGUGACAUUCUGGCACUCUUGUUCAUACACCAAUACUCAGACUCCAAAUUGUACCGUCUUGCUGUCUUAUGCACUGCCAGUUCACACGCAUCUCUGUCCCCCUUUCUAUUUUUAAUGCUCUUGCACAAAAGCUUUUCUUUACGUUUUAUGCAAAUAUAUUUUUUAAUCUUCCUUUGGAAAUCUUGCACUUUUCUUUCUUUUUCUUUUCUAGUGCCUGUGCCUCUUAACUGUUUAUAUCUCUUUUGGAAAAGUGCAGGCUGUCUGUUGGGACUCUCAUAAUUCUGUCAGUUGGAUGUUUCCAUUACGUUCUCAUCACGUUCCUGCCAUGUUCUUGUCCCGGCUCCAGCCUGUAGUCAGCUACCCUUCCAGCCACAGGCUGGCAGCUGUUUUUUUUUUUUUUUGCAAUUGUGUAUCUCUAAGGGCUUGUCUGUCAACUGGAACCCUCCCCUCCAAUUAGGAGUGUAAACACAAGACCCGUCUCUGUGUGUGUGUGUGUGCGCUUGUGUAUGUGCUUAUAAGAAGUUCACAAACUGUCCCCUAAAACUCUCCUUCCAAAACAAUGCUUAGGUUCUCCAAACUGCACAUGAUGCAGGAUCAAUAUCUGCAGUUACAUAUUUCACCCUUCUUUUAAAAUGUUUAAUUAUAUAGACUGCAUCUUAACUGGUUUAUUUUGACUUAAAUAUAUAGUAAAAUACUGAAAGGAACACAUUAUGACUUCAGCUGUAUAUUUGAAAAGAAAGGUAUUUAUAUUGAAUUUUAUUUGACUGCACUGAUAAUACUGUAGAGUCAUUUAUAUUGUAGACAUUUAUACUGACAGAUUUUUCUGUGGAAGUACUUGAUGUGUUGUUGUAUAUUAAAACACUGAACUGGAUGUAUUUCACUUAAAAAGUGUUUAUUUUCGACAUUAACAUGACAGGUCACCAUUCGCCACUCUCCUGGUUACCAUAGGGAACCAAUACUGCUGAAAAGAAUGUAGAGUCUGCCAGAGUUGCAGACUGGGACAGGACAGGCUAUGUGUGUGUGUGUGUGUGUGUGUGUGUGCUGGGGGUGGGAACACUCUCAGAUACCCCAGUGGUUACCGCCUUGCGGCUGGCAAUAGGGAUGCAGGAAUUUCACUAGACCUACUGCCCGGAAAAUGCCAGGUGGGAGACGAGGAGUGGACAGAGGGUGUGGAGGAGUCACAUUAAUUGCUGGCAGGGGAGGUGGAGGAUAGGUAGCGCAGGAACUGACAGAAGCUCAAUAGAAAAAUAGAG